AUGCUUCGAAACAUCAGAGAUUUUGUUAACGUCAUGUUUGUUAUCAAGCAUGAUCCCAAUUCGAACACUGUUACUCUUAAAAUGUGUCGGUGUGGGAGUGAAGAAUAUUGCUCGAAAGAGUUCACAAGCAACAGGAUUAUGAAUCUCGUCAAGGAUUGAGGACAUAGCAAUAGACUACCGUGAGAUCCUGUUUGUAGCUGUGAAACAGCAAGGACUUUUCUUAGCUACUCCUGCUGAAUUUUUGUUCUGAGGUGCAUGACAUAACCUACUCUCUGAUGCCAUUUUGAUAUCUCAGCCGGUGGUAGUAGAAUGUAUUUUUCUGAUGUGUGGGCAACAUAUUUCUAUAUCGCAUAGCUAUUUUUCAGUUUCUACUUGCCUAGACCUGCUGGCACAUAUGAAUGAAAAAUAUGCAGACGUCUGGAGGCAAAAUGUUUGUUUUAGCUUCCGCAUUUGGUUAUAUGGUACAAAUAAGUAGGUCAUAUUGUGUUAAAACCAGUUGUUUUGGUUCCAUUGCUGCCGAACAAAACAAAUGAGCAGCAGGUUUGAUUCCUGGUAAGGAAUCCAUGAUCAUCAGUGGGUUUGAGUGAAACCAAGUGGAAUGAUUUAAUCCAGGUCUGGUUUGAAAACAGGGCUGGCUUGAAAACAGGCCUGCCGAACGAGGCCUUACCUGGCUAAGGAUGUGGCCUCUGACAUUGCGAGUUCAAAAGUCCCAGUGUUCCUGUACACAGACCCAUCCAGAACGAAAGACUCUUGGUGACGUACGGCGUGACCUUGGCUACUACAAGCCGAGGAAUGGCGCGGACCGCCAGUGAUCAGGCGUGAUGUAACUUGAUACGACAGAGGGAAAUAAACCUGAUGUAGUUUUUCAAAAAAAUAAACCAGAUGUGUGCCCAACAAUAGUUGAUCAUCAAAUGCUACAAAAAAAAAGGUGUCACAACAGUUGGUGCCAUGCCUUUUGUUGAGGGCUAUAAUGUGCCAGUGCAGUCCAAGAAUAUCAAAAAAGUGGAGGACAUUGUGAAAAAAUUAAGAGAACAACUAGGUGGUCGCGGUGGUGAAGGGUCCCCAAAGUUGUUAGCUUUGGCACUUCGCCAUGGGAGUUUUGUAGAGGUCGGAUGCUUGUUGGAUCCAAAUCAUCUCAGGGCCGAUCAAGUUCAGGACAAGGUCAAGCAGAUUGCAGCAGAGCGAGGACUUGAAGAUAAAGUUCAAAAGGGGUACUACACUGACAUAACCAAGGAUAUGAUUCUCUUACAUCUGUCUAAGAUAUUGUAUGAGAAUCGUAUCCUUGGUGUAUGCCCAAGUUAAAAUGGCUCCGGAAGUGAAGAACGGGAGGGCACGAAUGAGUCAGUUACUAAAGGCUCCCAAAUAACUGUUGUACGUAUGUUAAUCAUGUAUGAUACCAAUAAUCAUACGAAUCUGUAUAUGUGUAGUGUGUAUAUGUAUGUGUAUGCGUAUGUGUGUAUGUAGUGUGUGUAUGCAUGUGUACAUACCCAUGUAUAUAUGUAUUUGUGUAUAUACCCAAGUGUAGCUACUCCACACUAUAUUAUCUAUUGGUUGUUGGAUUUGGACGGGGAAGAAUCCAUAAAGGAUCUAA
Panicum virgatum (switchgrass) is the source of this 1591-nucleotide long non-coding RNA. RefSeq lists it as uncharacterized. The transcript is spliced from 2 exons. The record is from RefSeq and is a predicted model, not a curated record. NCBI's taxonomy places the organism in Eukaryota, Viridiplantae, Streptophyta, Magnoliopsida, Poales, Poaceae.